AAUAGAUACCCUGGUAGUCCACGCAGUAAACGAUGCCGACUAGGCGUGGGGGGGAGUUGACCCCCUCCGUGCCGGAGCCAACGCGGGAAGUCGGCCGCCUGGGGAGUACGGCCGCAAGGCUAAAACUCAAAGGAAUUGACGGGGGCCCGCACAAGCGGCGGAGCGUGCGGUUUAAUUCGACGCGACGCGCAGAACCUUACCUGGGCUAGAAAACGUAGGAACCUGGGUGAAAACUCGGGGUGCUCUUCGGAGAAUCUACGGUUAGGUGUUGCAUGGCUGUCAUCAGCUCGUGUCGUGAGAUGUUGGGUUAAGUCCCGCAACGAGCGCAACCCUUGUUGUUAGUUGCCAGCCUUAAGUUGGGCACUCUAACAAGACUGCCGACCUUCAAGUCGAAGGAAGGUGGGGAUGACGUCAAGUCCUCAUGGCCCCUAUGUCCAGGGCUACACACGUGCUACAAUGGGCAGGACAAAGGGCUGCAACACAGCGAUGUGAAGCCAAUCCCAAAAACCUGCUCUCAGUUCAGAUCGCAGUCUGCAA
RNAcentral lists this ribosomal RNA (537 nucleotides) under uncultured bacterium. RNAcentral describes it as "bacterial SSU rRNA". It matches the Rfam family "Bacterial small subunit ribosomal RNA", at positions 777 to 1310 of the family's 1533-position model. The record is from RNAcentral.